Molecule: non-coding RNA, 1046 nt
Organism: Oryctolagus cuniculus (rabbit)
Lineage: Eukaryota; Metazoa; Chordata; Mammalia; Lagomorpha; Leporidae
Source: RefSeq, a predicted model, not a curated record
GCCUGCUCUCCUGGUGUGAGGUGUGGUGGGGGCAGACACACACCAGCCUGCUCUCCUGGGUGUGAGGUGUGGUGGGAGGACAGACACACACCAGCCUGCUCUCCUGGGUGUGAGGUGUGGUGGGAGGACAGACACACACCAGCCUGCUCUCCUGGGUGUGAGGUGUGGUGGGGACAGACACACACCAGCCUGCUCUCCUGGUGUGAGGUGUGGUGGGAGGACAGACACACACCAGCCUGCUCUCCUGGUGUGAGGUGUGGUGGGAGGACAGACACACACCAGCCUGCUCUCCUGGUGUGAGGUGUGGUGGGAGGACAGACACACACCAGCCUGCUCUCCUGGGUGUGAGGUGUGGUGGGGACAGACACACACCAGCCUGCUCUCCUGGUGUGAGGUGUGGUGGGGGCAGACACACACCAGCCUGCUCUCCUGGUGUGAGGUGUGGUGGGAGGACAGACACACACCAGCCUGCUCUCCUGGUGUGAGGUGUGGUGGGGACAGACACACACCAGCCUGCUCUCCUGGUGUGAGGUGUGGUGGGAGGACAGACACACACCAGCCUGCUCUCCUGGUGUGAGGUGUGGUGGGGACAGACACACACCAGCCUGCUCUCCUGGUGUGAGGUGUGGUGGGAGGACAGACACACACCAGCCUGCUCUCCUGGUGUGAGGUGUGGUGGGAGGACAGACACACACCAGCCUGCUCUCCUGGGUGUGAGGUGUGGUGGGAGGACAGACACACACCAGCCUGCUCUCCUGGUGUGAGGUGUGGUGGGAGGACAGACACACACCAGCCUGCUCUCCUGGUGUGAGGUGUGGUGGGAGGACAGACACACACCAGCCUGCUCUCCUGGUGUGAGGUGUGGUGGGAGGACAGACACACACCAGCCUGCUCUCCUGGUGUGAGGUGUGGUGGGAGGACAGACACACACCAGCCUGCUCUCCUGGUGUGAGGUGUGGUGGGAGGACAGACACACACCAGCCUGCUCUCCUGGGUGUGAGGUGUGGUGGGGACAGACACACACCAGCCUGCUCUCCUGGUGUGAG